AUACGAAGGGGGCUAGCGUUGCUCGGAAUGACUGGGCGUAAAGGGCGUGUAGGCGGUUUUGACAGUCAGAUGUGAAAUCCCCGGGCUUAACCUGGGAGCUGCAUUUGAGACGUUAAGACUAGAGUGUGAGAGAGGGUUGUGGAAUUCCCAGUGUAGAGGUGAAAUUCGUAGAUAUUGGGAAGAACACCGGUGGCGAAGGCGGCAACCUGGCUCAUUACUGACGCUGAGGCGCGAAAGUAUGGGUAGC
RNAcentral lists this ribosomal RNA (247 nucleotides) under uncultured bacterium. RNAcentral's name for it is "partial 16S ribosomal RNA". It matches the Rfam family "Bacterial small subunit ribosomal RNA", at positions 523 to 769 of the family's 1533-position model. The record is from RNAcentral.